AAACACAGGGAUUGCCUCAGUAACGGCGAGUGAAGCGGCAACAGCUCAAAUUUGAAAUCUGCCGCGAGGCCGAGUUGUAAUUUGUAGAGGAUGCUUCUGGGCAGCGGCCGGUCUAAGUUCCUUGGAACAGGACGUCAUAGAGGGUGAGAAUCCCGUAUGCGACCGGUUGGCACCCGUCACGUAGCUCCUUCGACGAGUCGAGUUGUUUGGGAAUGCAGCUCUAAAUGGGUGGUAAAUUCCAUCUAAAGCUAAAUACCGGCCAGAGACCGAUAGCGCACAAGUAGAGUGAUCGAAAGAUGAAAAGCACUUUGGAAAGAGAGUUAAAAAGCACGUGAAAUUGUUGAAAGGGAAGCGCAUGCAACCAGACUUGUCGGCGGUGUUCCGCCGGUCUUCUGACCGGUCUACUCGCCGCCGACAGGCCAGCAUCGUGUGGGUGUGCCGGAUAAAGGCGUCGGGAAUGUGGCCCCUCGGGGUGUUAUAGCCCGGCGCAUAAUACGGUGCCGCCCGCGCGAGGUCCGCGCUUCGGCUAGGAUGCUGGCGUAAUGGUCGUAUGCGGCCCGUCUUGAAACACGGACCAAGGAGUCUAACAUCUGUGCGAGUGUUCGGGUGUCAAACCCCUACGCGGAAUGAAAGUGAACGGAGGUGGGAGCUUCGGCGCACCAUCGACCGAUCCUGAUGUCCUCGGAUGGAUUUGAGUAAGAGCAUAGCUGUUGGGACCCGAAAGAUGGUGAACUAUGCCUGAAUAGGGUGAAGCCAGAGGAAACUCUGGUGGAGGCUCGCAGCGGUUCUGACGUGCAAAUCGAUCGUCAAAUUUGGGUAUAGGGGCGAAAGACUAAUCGAACCAUCUAGUAGCUGGUUCCUGCCGAAGUUUCCCUCAGGAUAGCAGUAGCGUUUUCAGUUUUAUGA
Molecule: ribosomal RNA, 906 nt
Filed under: uncultured fungus
Lineage: Eukaryota; Fungi
Description: LSU rRNA
Rfam family: Eukaryotic large subunit ribosomal RNA
Source: RNAcentral